GGACCAUUUCUUCCACAAGAUUCAGUGCCUCUUCUGUCCUCCCUUCCUUGCAUAAAGCAUCCAGAACAGCAUUAUGUAACAAUAUCAGGCAAGACUCCAUAAUCAAUCAUGUUUUUAAAUAACCUCACACCUUCGUCCCAGUUACCAGACUUGCAUGAAGCAGAAAUCAUGGAAUUAAAAGUGAAAACAUCAGGCUUUAUACCUUUCUCAGUCAUUGUUCCAAACAGAGUGACAACAUUAGGCUUGACUCCUUGAUCUACCAUUCCUUCAAAAAGAGAGAGCACUUCUUCCCAGCGACUUGUGUUGCAUAACCCAUGAAUCAAUGUGGUAUAAUUGAAAAUAUUUGGUACAACACUCUUGCUGAUCAUAUCGAAAUAGGGUCAAGGCCUCGUCUAUUCGUCUUUCUUUACAGAGGCUAUCGAUGAUUGGAUUAUAGCAUUCUUGGUUGGGGUUGAACCUUC
This 461-nucleotide small RNA is filed under the name Malus domestica (apple). Its description in RNAcentral is "sRNA MD04G0013600". The record is from RNAcentral. Lineage: Eukaryota; Viridiplantae; Streptophyta; Magnoliopsida; Rosales; Rosaceae.